RNAcentral lists this ribosomal RNA (500 nucleotides) under uncultured bacterium. RNAcentral describes it as "partial 16S ribosomal RNA". It matches the Rfam family "Bacterial small subunit ribosomal RNA", at positions 30 to 523 of the family's 1533-position model. The record is from RNAcentral.
AUUGAACGCUGGCGGAAUGCUUUACACAUGCAAGUCGAACGGCAGCACGGACUUCGGUCUGGUGGCGAGUGGCGAACGGGUGAGUAAUGUAUCGGAACGUGCCCAGUCGUGGGGGAUAACGUAGUGAAAAUUACGCUAAUACCGCAUACGAUCUAUGGAUGAAAGCGGGGGAUCGCAAGACCUCGCGCGAUUGGAGCGGCCGAUAUCAGAGUAGGUAGUUGGUGGGGUAAAGGCCCCCCAAGCCAACGAUCUGUAGCUGGUCUGAGAGGACGACCAGCCACACUGGAUCUGCGACACGGUCCAGACUCCUACGGGAGGCAGCAGUGGGGAAUUUUGGACAAUGGGCGAAAGCCUGAUCCAGCCAUUCCGCGUGCAGGAUGAAGGCCCUCGUGUUGUAAACUGCUUUUGUACAGAACGAAAAGGUUUCUACUAAUACUAGGAGCUCAUGACGGUACUGUAAGAAUAAGCACCGGCUAACUACGUGCCAGCAGCCGCGGUAA